GCCCGGUUAGCUCAAUCGGUAGAGGUACGUUUAAUUCCAGUUCAAUUUCAAGUUGAAAAAUCACUUCUAACAUUCUCCAACAGCGUAAGACUCUUAAUCUUAAGGCUGCGGGUUCAAGCCCCGCAUUGGGCU
Myotisia sp. PD_48 is the source of this 132-nucleotide non-coding RNA. NCBI's taxonomy places the organism in Eukaryota, Fungi, Ascomycota, Eurotiomycetes, Onygenales. The record is from the annotation of a GenBank genome assembly.